This 85-nucleotide transfer RNA is filed under the name Felis catus (domestic cat). It matches the Rfam family "tRNA". From Rfam's summary of the family: Transfer RNA (tRNA) molecules are approximately 80 nucleotides in length. Their secondary structure includes four short double-helical elements and three loops (D, anti-codon, and T loops). Further hydrogen bonds mediate the characteristic L-shaped molecular structure. tRNAs have two regions of fundamental functional importance: the anti-codon, which is responsible for specific mRNA codon recognition, and the 3' end, to which the tRNAs corresponding amino acid is attached (by aminoacyl-tRNA synthetases). tRNAs cope with the degeneracy of the genetic code in two manners: having more than one tRNA (with a specific anti-codon) for a particular amino acid; and 'wobble' base-pairing, i.e. permitting non-standard base-pairing at the 3rd anti-codon position. The record is from Rfam by way of RNAcentral. Lineage: Eukaryota; Metazoa; Chordata; Mammalia; Carnivora; Felidae.
GCCUGGGUGGCUCAGUCGGUUGAGCAUCCGACUUCAGCUCAGAUCAUGAUCUCACGGUCUGUGGGUUCAAGCCCUGCAUCAUGCG